AGAGUUUGAUCCUGGCUCAGAUUGAACGCUGGCGGCGUGCCUAACACAUGCAAGUCGAGCGAUGAAGGGAGCUUGCUCCCGGAUUAGCGGCGCACGGGUGAGUAACGCGUGGAUAAUCUACCCACGAGAUCGGGAUACCAGCUGGAAACGGCUGACAAUACCGGGUAACAUACAAUUUUACUAUUGUGUCAAAGGCGGGGCAACCUGUCGCUUGUGGAUGAGUCCGCGUCUCAUUAGCUAGUUGGUAAAGUAAUGGCUUACCAAGGCAAUGAUGAGUAGCCGGCCUGAGAGGGUAAUCGGCCACACUGGGACUGGAACACGGCCCAGACUCCUACGGGAGGCAGCAGUGAGGAAUAUUGCGCAAUGGACGAAAGUCUGACGCAGCGACGCCGCGUGAGGGAUGAAGGCCUUCGGGUUGUAAACCUCUGUCAGGAGGGAAGAACCGCCAUGGUAGUAACUGCCCAUGGUCUGACGGUACCUCCAAAGGAAGCACCGGCUAACUCCGUGCCAGCAGCCGCGGUAAUACGGAGGGUGCAAGCGUUAAUCGGAAUCACUGGGCGUAAAGCGCGCGUAGGCGGCUUUGUAAGUCAGAGGUGAAAGCCCACGGCUCAACCGUGGAACUGCCUUUGAUACUGCAAGGCUACGAGUUUGUGAGAGGAUAGUGGAAUUCCUGGUGUAGGAGUGAAAUCCGUAGAGAUCAGGAGGAACAUCAGUGGCGAAGGCGACUGUCUGGCACAACACUGACGCUGAGGUGCGAAAGCGUGGGUAUCAAACAGGAUUAGAUACCCUGGUAGUCG
Molecule: ribosomal RNA, 797 nt
Filed under: uncultured bacterium
Lineage: Bacteria
Description: bacterial SSU rRNA
Rfam family: Bacterial small subunit ribosomal RNA
Source: RNAcentral